UACGGAGGGGGCUAGCGUUGUUCGGAAUGACUGGGCGUAAAGCGCGCAUAGGCGGGCUGGAAAGUCAGGGGUGAAAUCCCGGGGCUCAACCCUGGAAUUGCCUUUGAGACUCCCAGCCUUGAGUUCGAGAGAGGUGAGUGGAAUUCCGAGUGUAGAGGUGAAAUUCGUAGAUAUUCGGAGGAACACCAGUGGCGAAGGCGGCUCACUGGCUCGACACUGACGCUGAGGUGCGAAAGCGUGGGGAGCAAACAGG
RNAcentral lists this ribosomal RNA (253 nucleotides) under uncultured bacterium. RNAcentral describes it as "partial 16S ribosomal RNA". It matches the Rfam family "Bacterial small subunit ribosomal RNA", at positions 524 to 776 of the family's 1533-position model. The record is from RNAcentral.